Molecule: ribosomal RNA, 727 nt
Filed under: Pseudomonas sp.
Lineage: Bacteria; Pseudomonadati; Pseudomonadota; Gammaproteobacteria; Pseudomonadales; Pseudomonadaceae
Description: bacterial SSU rRNA
Rfam family: Bacterial small subunit ribosomal RNA
Source: RNAcentral
CUCAGAUUGAACGCUGGCGGCAGGCCUAACACAUGCAAGUCGAGCGGAUGAGAGGAGCUUGCUCCUCGAUUCAGCGGCGGACGGGUGAGUAAUGCCUAGGAAUCUGCCUAGUAGUGGGGGACAACGUUUCGAAAGGAACGCUAAUACCGCAUACGUCCUACGGGAGAAAGUGGGGGAUCUUCGGACCUCACGCUAUUAGAUGAGCCUAGGUCGGAUUAGCUAGUUGGUAGGGUAAAGGCCUACCAAGGCGACGAUCCGUAACUGGUCUGAGAGGAUGAUCAGUCACACUGGAACUGAGACACGGUCCAGACUCCUACGGGAGGCAGCAGUGGGGAAUAUUGGACAAUGGGCGAAAGCCUGAUCCAGCCAUGCCGCGUGUGUGAAGAAGGCCCUCGGGUCGUAAAGCACUUUAAGUUGGGAGGAAGGGCUUACAGCGAAUACCUGUGAGUUUUGACGUUACCGACAGAAUAAGCACCGGCUAACUUCGUGCCAGCAGCCGCGGUAAUACGAAGGGUGCAAGCGUUAAUCGGAAUUACUGGGCGUAAAGCGCGCGUAGGUGGCUUGAUAAGUUGGAUGUGAAAUCCCCGGGCUCAACCUGGGAACUGCAUCCAAAACUGUCUGGCUAGAGUGCGGUAGAGGGUAGUGGAAUUUCCAGUGUAGCGGUGAAAUGCGUAGAUAUUGGAAGGAACACCAGUGGCGAAGGCGACUACCUGGACUGACACUGACA